Molecule: long non-coding RNA, 124 nt
Organism: Etheostoma spectabile (orangethroat darter)
Lineage: Eukaryota; Metazoa; Chordata; Actinopteri; Perciformes; Percidae
Exons: 3
Source: RefSeq, a predicted model, not a curated record
CCAGACUCUGGUCCAUUAGCCAGUCCUCCACGACCUCUGGUACACUAGCCCGGUCUACCAGACUCUGGUCCAUUAGCCAGGUCCUACCAGACUCUGGUACCCUAGCCCGGUCCUACCAGACUCU